This 79-nucleotide small nuclear RNA is filed under the name Camelus dromedarius (Arabian camel). Its description in RNAcentral is "U4 spliceosomal RNA". It matches the Rfam family "U4 spliceosomal RNA", at positions 1 to 80 of the family's 138-position model. From Rfam's summary of the family: U4 small nuclear RNA (U4 snRNA) is a component of the major U2-dependent spliceosome. The structure of U4 snRNA from yeast and human has been reported. U4 snRNA presents a k-turn RNA motif in the 5p-SL related to recognition of Snu13 protein. Lineage: Eukaryota; Metazoa; Chordata; Mammalia; Artiodactyla; Camelidae. The record is from Rfam by way of RNAcentral. RNAcentral also lists the same sequence under 1 other name.
AGCUUUGUGCAGUUACAGUAUCAUAGCCAAUGAGGUUUAUCCAAGGCAUGAUUAUUAUUAAUUGAAAAUAAGUAAAAUG